RNAcentral lists this ribosomal RNA (245 nucleotides) under Saccharibacillus soli. RNAcentral describes it as "Saccharibacillus sp. O16 partial 23S ribosomal RNA". It matches the Rfam family "Bacterial large subunit ribosomal RNA", at positions 2675 to 2925 of the family's 2925-position model. Lineage: Bacteria; Bacillati; Bacillota; Bacilli; Caryophanales; Paenibacillaceae. The record is from RNAcentral.
UCCUUAGUACGAGAGGACCGGGAUGGACGCACCGCUGGUGUACCAGUUGUUCCGCCAGGAGCAUCGCUGGGUAGCUACGUGCGGACGGGAUAAACGCUGAAAGCAUCUAAGCGUGAAGCCCCCCUCAAGAUGAGAUUUCCCACUUUUGGUAAGACCCCUUGUAGACGACGAGGUUGAUAGGCUAGAGGUGGACGCGCAGCAAUGUGUGGAGCUGACUAGUACUAAUCGGUCGAGGGCUUAUCCUU